Molecule: transfer RNA, 75 nt
Filed under: Brucella vulpis
Lineage: Bacteria; Pseudomonadati; Pseudomonadota; Alphaproteobacteria; Hyphomicrobiales; Brucellaceae
Also listed under: 2 other names
Description: tRNA-Thr
Rfam family: tRNA
About the family: Transfer RNA (tRNA) molecules are approximately 80 nucleotides in length. Their secondary structure includes four short double-helical elements and three loops (D, anti-codon, and T loops).
Source: RNAcentral
CCGCUUUAGCUCAGUUGGUAGAGCACAUCAUUCGUAAUGAUGGGGUCGCGUGUUCGAGUCACGCAAGCGGCACCA